RNAcentral lists this long non-coding RNA (338 nucleotides) under Callithrix jacchus (white-tufted-ear marmoset). Its description in RNAcentral is "lncRNA (ENSCJAG00000072345.1)". Lineage: Eukaryota; Metazoa; Chordata; Mammalia; Primates; Cebidae. The record is from RNAcentral.
AUCCAAAGGUUUUAAGAAGGGGAAUUUCCCUGCAUAAGCUCUCUUUUCUUAUCUGCCACCAUUUGAGAUGUGCCUUUUACCUUCUGCCAUGAUUGUGAGGUCUCCCAGCCACGUGGAACUGCCCUGUGCAAGUCUGAAAUCCAGCCCUGCUGACUAGUGUCCUUAUAAGAAGAGAAAACUGAACACACAGACAGCCUGGAGUGCACACACACAGAAGAAAGACCAUAUGAGGACACAGUGAAGAUGGCCAUCUGCCAGCAAAUGAAAGAGGUCUCAGAAGAAACAACACUGCCAACAAUUUGAUCUUGGACUUCCAGCCUCUGAAACUGUGAGAAAAU